ACUAACUCUAGCCCUAUAAAAAACUAACAUAAUUAUUUAAUUAAUUAAAACAAACCAUUUAAAUCAAGAAGUAUUGGUGAAAGAAACUAGUAAUAAGGAGCUAUAGAGAUAGUACCGCAAGGGAAAGAUGAAAGAAAUGUUUAAAGUACAAAAAAGCAAAGAUUAAAUCUUGUACCUUUUGCAUAAUGAACUAACUAGAAAACCCCUAACUAAAAGAAUUUAAGCUAGGAACCCCGAAACCAAACGAGCUACCUAAGAGCAAUUUUAAGAAUGAACCCGUCUAUGUAGCAAAAUAGUGGGAAGACUUCUAGGUAGAGGUGAAAAGCCUAACGAGCUUGGUGAUAGCUGGUUACCCAAAAAAAGAACUUCAGUUCUACUUUAAGAUUACCUCAAGAAAAAUUAAUCCAAAUGUAAUCUUAAAUUAUAACCUAAAGAGGGACAGCUCUCUAGGAGAAGGAUAAAACCUUAAAUAGUGAAUAAGACAUGCAAAAUGUAUUAAACCAUAGUUGGCUUAAAAGCAGCCAUCAAUAAAGAAAGCGUUCAAGCUCAACACCUAACAGCAUCUAAUUCCACAAAUUAUAACAACUUCCUAUACUAAAAAUUGGGUUAAUCUAUUGUCAUAUAGAUGAAAUAAUGUUAGCAUGAGUAACAAGAAUUUAUUCUCCACGCACAAGCCUAUAACAACCCGGAUAACCAUUGUUAGUUAACAUACACACAAGUAAAUCAACCCCCUACAAAAAUCACUUCACAUACAAUGUUAACCCAACACAGGAGUGCAUAAAGGAAAGAUUAAAAGAAAUAAAAGGAACUAGGCAAACAAGAAUCCCGCCUGUUUACCAAAAACAUCACCUCUAGCAUUACAAGUAUUAGAGGCAAUGCCUGCCCAGUGACAUAGUUAAACGGCCGCGGUAUCCUGACCGUGCAAAGGUAGCAUAAUCACUUGUUCCUUAAUUAGGGACUAGAAUGAACGGCUUAACGAGGAUUCAACUGUCUCUUAUUUCUAAUCAGUGAAAUUGACCUUCCCGUGAAGAGGCGGGAAUACAACAAUAAGACGAGAAGACCCUAUGGAGCUUCAAUCUCAUAGCUUAAUUCAAUAAAAUAUACACACCUACUGGUAAUAAAAUACAAAACAUUUAAGCUUAGAUUUCGGUUGGGGUGACCUCGGAGAACAAAAGAUCCUCCGAACGAUUUUUAGCUAAGACAUACAAGUCAAAGCACUUAUUAUCUAAUUGACCCAAAUAUUAUUUGAUCAACGGACCAAGUUACCCUAGGGAUAACAGCGCAAUCCUAUUCAAGAGUCCCUAUCGACAAUUAGGGUUUACGACCUCGAUGUUGGAUCAGGACAUCCCAAUGGUGUAGAAGCUAUUAAAGGUUCGUUUGUUCAACGAUUAAAGUCCUACGUGAUCUGAGUUCAGACCGGAGUAAUCCAGGUCGGUUUCUAUCUAUUAACGAUUUCUCCCAGUACGAAAGGACAAGAGAAAUAGAGCCUCCUUAACAAAAGCGCCCUAAAUUAAUUAAUGAAACCAUCUCAAUAUAGUAAAUACGUACAACCUACCCCUAGAACAGGGGCU
This is a ribosomal RNA of 1571 nucleotides. It matches the Rfam family "Bacterial large subunit ribosomal RNA".